RNAcentral lists this transfer RNA (74 nucleotides) under Nitrospiraceae bacterium. Its description in RNAcentral is "tRNA-Gln". It matches the Rfam family "tRNA". From Rfam's summary of the family: Transfer RNA (tRNA) molecules are approximately 80 nucleotides in length. Lineage: Bacteria; Pseudomonadati; Nitrospirota; Nitrospiria; Nitrospirales; Nitrospiraceae. The record is from RNAcentral. RNAcentral also lists the same sequence under 1 other name.
UGGGGGAUCGUCUAAUGGCAGGACGGCAGACUCUGACUCUGUCUAUCAAGGUUCGAAUCCUUGUCCCCCAGCCA